Talpa occidentalis (Iberian mole) is the source of this 1711-nucleotide long non-coding RNA. RefSeq lists it as uncharacterized. NCBI's taxonomy places the organism in Eukaryota, Metazoa, Chordata, Mammalia, Eulipotyphla, Talpidae. The transcript has 3 exons. The record is from RefSeq and is a predicted model, not a curated record.
AACCCUCUUUCCCUCACUCUCCCUUCCCCCACCCGCAAACAGAAGCUGCAGAAAGUUCCUGGGGAGGAGACGGGUAACACAGAACCGAGAAGGGUGGUGGUUAACCCGGGAACUCUGCAGUCAGACCGUGUGAGUUCAGAUCGCAGCUCUACCAGUGAGGCCCAUCCAGCCUGGAGGAGGCCUCCAAGGAGGAAUGCACAGAAUUCCACUCCCAGAUUUCCUGAGGCCUGAACGGACGCUGGAUGACAGCGCAUGGGGAGAGGUGCAAACCCAGAUGUGGGCGCAAGGACAGAUGGAGACGGUCUAGGCCCGCUAGAGAGCUGUUUGGGGGAAUGACACCAACACACAAAUGAGAUCCGAGGUGUUGUCAUGAAGAUUUCUCUUUCCGGAAAGCUGCAGCACUUUAAAAGGAAGGACAGAUUUUCUCAGGGACAUCUUGGGGGUCAGGCAGAAGGAACCUGGGGAUGCCAGCCCCUAUUGGCAGCCAACUCAGUUCCCAUUUAAAUGCCAUUCAGAAGCAGCACAUCUCAGAAAGUUUUUCACAUGGACAGUGGAGCCCAGGAGAUACUUGUUAGUAGGAAAAAAUGCAAGUUUUCUUCAUUCACCUGAACUGUGGAACCAGAAAGUCAAGUUCCAGACCUCACCCCAUUUCUGAGCCAUGCAGCCUUGAGCCUCGACUUUCCCGGUCUGUAGAAGGGGGUGAAUCAAGCCAUGUAGAUCAGCACCCGCCACCACGCCUGACUCUUAGCUGUUGCUCACAGAAAGGAGGGCGUGACAGUGACCUGCUGCCACACGCGGGCGGGGGGCCCCACGGUACUCACCACUCACGGUGACCUGCGUGCCUGGUCCCGACUUCACUUCUGUGUCAGGGCUCCCUCUCUGGAACUUCACACAGUAGUAGGCCCCAGUGUCUGCUGGGGUGAUGUUACUGAUGCGGAUGGAAAAGUCCUUGUUGUCUCUGAUUGUGGCAUCUGAGACACUGGUUAUUCGGGGGAAGGGGCCUUCGUCUGUUGCUCCUUUGAAAUUGUAGACUAACUGCCGGCCUGUACCUGACCCCCUGAACCACUUAGUAUACCCCACAGGGAGCAGGGAGGUCAGGGAGCAGCGCAGAGUGGCCGUCUCUCCACCUGCCACCUACACGGACUUGUCAGGCUGGAUCACCUGCAGCUCUUCCUCGCCGGCUGCUCCUGCUGGAAAGCAAAGCAGUUCCUUGUUCAUCCUGCGUGACCCAGUGGGCUUUCUCAAGCACUAUCACAAGGACCCGCUGACAGUGCUCACCUCGGGGGGCUCCAGGGUUCAGCACAUGGGGGUAUCAUCACCUGGAACCCCCACAAUGAGCCUGUAAUGUGAGGCUGUUCCAAAUGAAGUGGCAGGUUUAGUGCCUGAGGCCUCUCUGGAAGGGUCAUGAUUCACCAAAUACUUGCUGGACACUUUGUGGUUUCAGGACAUGUUGCAUUUUCAGUUCUUUAACGUGAUGGACCAGGCGAGUCCUGAGACCAUUGGUUUGUGAGUGGCAGUGAUGGGUGUGUUGGUAGGAUGUCCUUGAACGGCAAGAAACUCUGUGCGUGAAGCAACCUCUUCCUGAGAUCACAUGCUUAUGGAAGGGGCUGUUCCCUGGCCUGGAUGCUUGAAUGACCAGGAGGUGCUGAGCUCCCUACACACAAUGAACGAGGUAUUUAAAAAGAAGGAAAACAUAGUCUUAACCCUGAAU